Molecule: ribosomal RNA, 465 nt
Filed under: Vreelandella stevensii
Lineage: Bacteria; Pseudomonadati; Pseudomonadota; Gammaproteobacteria; Oceanospirillales; Halomonadaceae
Description: partial 16S ribosomal RNA
Rfam family: Bacterial small subunit ribosomal RNA
Source: RNAcentral
CCUACGGGAGGCUGCAGUGGGGAAUAUUGGACAAUGGGGGGAACCCUGAUCCAGCCAUGCCGCGUGUGUGAAGAAGGCCCUCGGGUUGUAAAGCACUUUCAGUGAGGAAGAACGCCUGGUGGUUAAUACCCAUCAGGAAAGACAUCACUCACAGAAGAAGCACCGGCUAACUCCGUGCCAGCAGCCGCGGUAAUACGGAGGGUGCGAGCGUUAAUCGGAAUUACUGGGCGUAAAGCGCGCGUAGGUGGCUUGAUAAGCCGGUUGUGAAAGCCCCGGGCUCAACCGGGGAACGGCAUCCGGAACUGUCAAGCUAGAGUGCAGGAGAGGAAGGUAGAAUUCCCGGUGUAGCGGUGAAAUGCGUAGGGCUCGGGAGGAAUACCAGUGGCGAAGGCGGCCUUCUGGACUGACACUGACACUGAGGUGCGAAAGCGUGGGUAGCAAACAGGAUUAGAUACCCCUGUAGUC